RNAcentral lists this ribosomal RNA (447 nucleotides) under uncultured bacterium. RNAcentral's name for it is "partial 16S ribosomal RNA". It matches the Rfam family "Bacterial small subunit ribosomal RNA", at positions 29 to 523 of the family's 1533-position model. The record is from RNAcentral.
AGCGAACGCUGGCGGCAGGCUUAACACAUGCAAGUCGAACGGUCCUUCGGGAUAGUGGCGGACGGGUGAGUAACACGUGGGAACGUACCCUUAGGUUCGGAACAACACAGGGAACCUUGUGCUAAUACCGGAUAAGCCCUUCGGGGGAAAGAUUUAUCGCCUUUGGAGCGGCCCGCGUCUGAUUAGCUUGUUGGUGAGGUAAUGGCUCACCAAGGCUACGAUCAGUAGCUGGUGUGAGAGGGUGGCCAGCCACACUGGGACUGAGACACGGCCCAGACUCCUACGGGAGGCAGCAGUGGGGAAUCUUGCGCAAUGGGCGAAAGCCUGACGCAGCCAUGCCGCGUGGAUGAUGAAGGUCUUAGGAUUGUAAAGUCCUUUCACCAGGGACGAUAAUGACGGUACCCGGAGAAGAAGCCCCGGCUAACUUCGUGCCAGCCGCCGCGGUAA